AGUGGACGCUGGCGGUAGGCCUAACACAUGCAAGUCGAACGGCAGCACAGUAAGAGCUUGCUCUUACGGGUGGCGGGUGGCGGACGGGUGAGGAAUACAUCGGAAUCUACUUUUUCGUGGGGGAUAACGUAGGGAAACUUACGCUAAUACCGCAUACGACCUACGGGUGAAAGCAGGGGAUCUUCGGACCUUGCGCGAUUGAAUGAGCCGAUGUCGGAUUAGCUAGUUGGCGGGGUAAAGGCCCACCAAGGCGACGAUCCGUAGCUGGUCUGAGAGGAUGAUCAGCCACACUGGAACUGAGACACGGUCCAGACUCCUACGGGAGGCAGCAGUGGGGAAUAUUGGACAAUGGGCGCAAGCCUGAUCCAGCCAUACCGCGUGGGUGAAGAAGGCCUUCGGGUUGUAAAGCCCUUUUGUUGGGAAAGAAAAGCAGCAGGUUAAUACCCCGCUGUUCUGACGGUACCCAAAGAAUAAGCACCGGCUAACUUCGUG
Molecule: ribosomal RNA, 492 nt
Filed under: uncultured bacterium
Lineage: Bacteria
Description: partial 16S ribosomal RNA
Rfam family: Bacterial small subunit ribosomal RNA
Source: RNAcentral